GGGCCUGUAGCUCAGUUGGUUAGAGCAGAGGACUCAUAAUCCUUUGGUCCUGGGUUCGAGUCCCAGCGGGCCCA
RNAcentral lists this transfer RNA (74 nucleotides) under Betaproteobacteria bacterium. Its description in RNAcentral is "tRNA-Ile". It matches the Rfam family "tRNA". From Rfam's summary of the family: Transfer RNA (tRNA) molecules are approximately 80 nucleotides in length. Lineage: Bacteria; Pseudomonadati; Pseudomonadota; Betaproteobacteria. The record is from RNAcentral.